UAUCUCCCCAGCCUAGAUUUGAUGCUAGCCCUAUUGGGUAGUAGUUGUAAAGAUGCUUCUAUUUCUGCCUAAACCAGCCCCCUGGGAAAAAGAAUGACAGCAUAUUCUGGAGAAAGGAAAGGGGUUGGUGAGGGCAAUCUAGUCAACAUCCGUCACUCCAUUGCUUGUUAGGAUUAUUUUAGCCGAUUUGUCUGACUGGGCAGGUGUCCCCUCUCUCCCUCAGUGCUCCAUGUGCAUCCCUCUUGAAGCUUCGCACUCUGUUGAAGAGGACACUCAUCCCAGUCAUUAUUUAGAAGCAAGGUCCUUGAAUGAGCGAGAUUAUCGGGACCGGAGAUACGUUGACGAGUACAGGAAUGACUACUGUGAAGGAUAUGUUCCUAGACAUUAUCACAGAGACAUUGAAAACGGUUAUCGAAUCCACUGCAGUAAAUCUUCAGUCCGCAGCAGGAGAAGCAGUCCUAAAAGGAAGCGCAAUAGACACUGUUCAAGUCAUCAGUCACGUUCGAUGAAAUCGUGGACACUUUGGGUGAAGGAGCCUUUGGCAAAGUUGUAGAGUGCAUUGAUCAUGGCAU
RNAcentral lists this small RNA (572 nucleotides) under Pongo abelii (Sumatran orangutan). RNAcentral describes it as "processed transcript". The stretch from base 122 to 313 matches the Rfam family "7SK RNA". Lineage: Eukaryota; Metazoa; Chordata; Mammalia; Primates; Hominidae. The record is from RNAcentral.